RNAcentral lists this transfer RNA (72 nucleotides) under Phakopsora pachyrhizi. Its description in RNAcentral is "tRNA-Ser". It matches the Rfam family "tRNA". Rfam says of the family: Transfer RNA (tRNA) molecules are approximately 80 nucleotides in length. Their secondary structure includes four short double-helical elements and three loops (D, anti-codon, and T loops). Further hydrogen bonds mediate the characteristic L-shaped molecular structure. tRNAs have two regions of fundamental functional importance: the anti-codon, which is responsible for specific mRNA codon recognition, and the 3' end, to which the tRNAs corresponding amino acid is attached (by aminoacyl-tRNA synthetases). tRNAs cope with the degeneracy of the genetic code in two manners: having more than one tRNA (with a specific anti-codon) for a particular amino acid; and 'wobble' base-pairing, i.e. permitting non-standard base-pairing at the 3rd anti-codon position. Lineage: Eukaryota; Fungi; Basidiomycota; Pucciniomycetes; Pucciniales; Phakopsoraceae. The record is from RNAcentral.
GCGCACUUAGCUCAGUGGUUAGAGCAUCACUUUUGAAUGUUGAGGUCGCAGGUUCAAUUCCUGCUGUGCACA